CCCUACGGGGGGCAGCAGUAGGGAAUUUUCGUCAAUGGGCGCAAGUCUGAACGAGCAAUGCCGCGUGAACGAGGAAGGUCUUCGGAUCGUAAAGUUCUGUUGAAGGGGAAAAAGAGCGGAGAGAGGAAAUGAACUCCGAUUGAUAUUACCCUUCGAGGAAGUCACGGCUAACUACGUGCCAGCAGCCGCGGUAAUACGUAGGUGGCGAGCGUUAUCCGGAAUGAUUGGGCGUAAAGGGUGCGUAGGCGGCCUGCUAAGUCUGGAGUGAAAGGCGGGGGCUCAACCCCCGGACUGCUCUGGAAACU
This 305-nucleotide ribosomal RNA is filed under the name uncultured bacterium. RNAcentral's name for it is "bacterial SSU rRNA". It matches the Rfam family "Bacterial small subunit ribosomal RNA", at positions 337 to 634 of the family's 1533-position model. The record is from RNAcentral.